GUGCUCGCUUUGGCAGCGCAUGUACUAAAAUUGGUAUGAUACAGAGAAGAUUACCAUGGCCCUUGCCCAAAGCACAUUGUAACAGAAAUACAGAGGCUACAGAGACCU
Small nuclear RNA from Jaculus jaculus (lesser Egyptian jerboa), 108 nucleotides. The record is from Ensembl. NCBI's taxonomy places the organism in Eukaryota, Metazoa, Chordata, Mammalia, Rodentia, Dipodidae.